Molecule: ribosomal RNA, 429 nt
Filed under: Triticum aestivum (bread wheat)
Lineage: Eukaryota; Viridiplantae; Streptophyta; Magnoliopsida; Poales; Poaceae
Description: partial small subunit ribosomal RNA
Source: RNAcentral
AUGCCACAGCAGGAUCCAAGAGAAACUCCAAUGCCACAACAGGUUAGCCCAAGAUCAAAGAGCGAUGUCCCCAUGGACGUUGUAUCAUCCCACAGCAGUGGCACCGGCCCAAUCGUGCAUCAUGAAUUGCCAACUGCUGAUGCUCUAGAGGCUAAACUAGUGGUAGAAAGAGAUUCUGCUUCUGCACUUAGAGAUGAAGUUGACAUGUUGAGGAAGCAAACAACACAAUCACAAGAAGUACUCAAGACAAUCAUUAAAUAUUUCGUGGAUUUCAAAAUGAAGCAAGCUGAGACCUACCGCAUUGUUAAGGUCCUGAAGGAAAAAAGGAAAUUAAAUUCCCACUUGGUAAUUCUAGGUGAAAUGUUCUUUCCAUCGUUGAAUAACCUUUGUGUUGUUUGUUCAUGUAAUCAAUCAAACCAUUUGUUUUAG